CGGUGGAGCAUGUUGGUUUAAUUCGAAGCAACGCGAAGAACCUUUACCAGGUUCUUGACAUCCCGAUGCUAUUUCUAGAGAUAGAAAGUUACUUCGGUACAUCGGUGACAGGUGGUGCAUGGUUGUCGUCAGCUCGUGUCGUGAGAUGUUGGGUUAAGUCCCGCAACGAGCGCAACCCCUAUUGUUAGUUGCCAUCAUUCAGUUGGGCACUCUAGCGAGACUGCCGGUAAUAAACCGGAGGAAGUGGGAUGACGUCAAAUCAUCAUGCCCCUUAUGACCUGGGCUACACACGUGCUACAAUGGUUGGUACAACGAGUUGCGAGUCGGUGACGGCGAGCUAAUCUCUUAAAGCCAAUCUCAGUUCGGAUUGUAGGCUGCAACUCGCCUACAUGAAGUCGGAAUCGCUAGUAAUCGCGGAUCAGCACGCCGCGGUGAAUACGUUCCCGGGCCUU
This 452-nucleotide ribosomal RNA is filed under the name uncultured Streptococcus sp. RNAcentral describes it as "bacterial SSU rRNA". It matches the Rfam family "Bacterial small subunit ribosomal RNA", at positions 930 to 1382 of the family's 1533-position model. The record is from RNAcentral. Lineage: Bacteria; Bacillati; Bacillota; Bacilli; Lactobacillales; Streptococcaceae.